RNAcentral lists this ribosomal RNA (1359 nucleotides) under uncultured soil bacterium. RNAcentral's name for it is "bacterial SSU rRNA". It matches the Rfam family "Bacterial small subunit ribosomal RNA", at positions 27 to 1380 of the family's 1533-position model. The record is from RNAcentral.
GAUUGAACGCUGGCGGCAUGCCUUACACAUGCAAGUCGAACGGCAGCACGGGAGCAAUCCUGGUGGCGAGUGGCGAACGGGUGAGUAAUGUAUCGGAACGUACCUUUCAGUGGGGGAUAACGUAGCGAAAGUUACGCUAAUACCGCAUAUUCUGUGCGCAGGAAAGCAGGGGAUCGCAAGACCUUGCGCUGAUUGAGCGGCCGAUAUCAGAUUAGCUAGUUGGUGAGGUAAAGGCUCACCAAGGCGACGAUCUGUAGCGGGUCUGAGAGGAUGAUCCGCCACACUGGAACUGAGACACGGUCCAGACUCCUACGGGAGGCAGCAGUGGGGAAUUUUGGACAAUGGGGGCAACCCUGAUCCAGUCAUGCCGCGUGAGUGAAGAAGGCCUUCGGGUUGUAAAGCUCUUUCGGCCGGGAAGAAAUCGCAUGGGUUAAUACCCUGUGCGGAUGACGGUACCGGCAUAAGAAGCACCGGCUAACUACGUGCCAGCAGCCGCGGUAAUACGUAGGGUGCGAGCGUUAAUCGGAAUUACUGGGCGUAAAGCGUGCGCAGGCGGUUUUGUAAGACAGGCGUGAAAUCCCCGGGCUCAACCUGGGAACUGCGCUUGUGACUGCAAGGCUAGAGUAUGGCAGAGGGGGGUGGAAUUCCACGUGUAGCAGUGAAAUGCGUAGAGAUGUGGAGGAACACCAAUGGCGAAGGCAGCCCCCUGGGCCAAUACUGACGCUCAUGCACGAAAGCGUGGGUAGCAAACAGGAUUAGAUACCCUGGUAGUCCACGCCCUAAACGAUGUCAACUAGGUGUUGGGUGGGUAAAACCAUUUAGUACCGGAGCUAACGCGUGAAGUUGACCGCCAGGGGAGUACGGCCGCAAGGUUAAAACUCAAAGGAAUUGACGGGGACCCGCACAAGCGGUGGAUGAUGUGGAUUAAUUCGAUGCAACGCGAAAAACCUUACCUACCCUUGACAUGUCCAGGAGCCUGAAGAGAUUUGGGUGUGCCCGAAAGGGAGCUGGAACACAGGUGCUGCAUGGCUGUCGUCAGCUCGUGUCGUGAGAUGUUGGGUUAAGUCCCGCAACGAGCGCAACCCUUGUCGUUAAUUGCCAUCAUUCAGUUGGGCACUUUAACGAGACUGCCGGUGACAAACCGGAGGAAGGUGGGGAUGACGUCAAGUCCUCAUGGCCCUUAUGGGUAGGGCUUCACACGUCAUACAAUGGUCGGUACAAAGGGUCGCCAACCCGCGAGGGGGAGCCAAUCCCAGAAAGCCGAUCGUAGUCCGGAUCGUAGGCUGCAACUCGCCUGCGUGAAGUCGGAAUCGCUAGUAAUCGUGGAUCAGCAUGUCACGGUGAAUACGUUCCCGGGUC